AAAAGGUGAACAUAUAGAGAGAGAUCACUUAGCCUUGAAAGACAAAAUCAAAAGCAGAUAGAUCUUGCUGAAAGAAAACCAAGAAACACAACCAACCCCCCCCACC
Molecule: long non-coding RNA, 106 nt
Organism: Perognathus longimembris pacificus (Pacific pocket mouse)
Lineage: Eukaryota; Metazoa; Chordata; Mammalia; Rodentia; Heteromyidae
Exons: 3
Source: RefSeq, a predicted model, not a curated record